ACGGAAGGCAGCAGUGGGGAAUAUUGCACAAUGGGGGAAACCCUGAUGCAGCGACGCCGCGUGAGUGAAGAAGUAUUUCGGUAUGUAAAGCUCUAUCAGCAGGGAAGAAAAUGACGGUACCUGACUAAGAAGCCCCGGCUAACUACGUGCCAGCAGCCGCGGUAGUACGUAGGGGGCAAGCGUUAUCCGGAAUUACUGGGUGUAAAGGGUGCGCAGGUGGUAAGGCAAGUCAGGAGUGAAAUGCCGGGGCUCAACCCCGGAACUGCUCUUGAAACUGUUUAACUGGAGUGCAGGAGAGGUAAGCGGAAUUCCUAGUGUAGCGGUGAAAUGCGUAGAUAUUAGGAGGAACACCAGUGGCGAAGGCGGCUUACUGGACUGUAACUGACACUGAGGCACGAAAGCGUGGGGAGCAAACAGGAUUAGAUACCCUGGUA
This 434-nucleotide ribosomal RNA is filed under the name uncultured Coprococcus sp. RNAcentral's name for it is "partial 16S ribosomal RNA". It matches the Rfam family "Bacterial small subunit ribosomal RNA", at positions 341 to 792 of the family's 1533-position model. The record is from RNAcentral. Lineage: Bacteria; Bacillati; Bacillota; Clostridia; Lachnospirales; Lachnospiraceae.